This 476-nucleotide ribosomal RNA is filed under the name uncultured organism. Its description in RNAcentral is "partial 16S ribosomal RNA". It matches the Rfam family "Bacterial small subunit ribosomal RNA", at positions 332 to 799 of the family's 1533-position model. The record is from RNAcentral.
UACACUCCUACGGGAGGCAGCAGUGGGGAAUAUUGCACAAUGGGCGCAAGCCUGAUGCAGCCAUGCCGCGUGUAUGAAGAAGGCCUUCGGGUUGUAAAGUACUUUCAGCGGGGAGGAAGGCGAUAAGGUUAAUAACCUUGUUGAUUGACGUUACCCGCAGAAGAAGCACCGGCUAACUCCGUGCCAGCAGCCGCGGUAAUACGGAGGGUGCAAGCGUUAAUCGGAAUUACUGGGCGUAAAGCGCACGCAGGCGGUCUGUCAAGUCGGAUGUGAAAUCCCCGGGCUCAACCUGGGAACUGCAUUCGAAACUGGCAGGCUAGAGUCUUGUAGAGGGGGGUAGAAUUCCAGGUGUAGCGGUGAAAUGCGUAGAGAUCUGGAGGAAUACCGGUGGCGAAGGCGGCCCCCUGGACAAAGACUGACGCUCAGGUGCGAAAGCGUGGGGAGCAAACAGGAUUAGAAACCCUAGUAGUCCCAUG